UUUGGUUCUCAGAGGUUGUUUUUAAAAAGUGUUUACUUCUUGGGUUCCCUGUGGUUUUGCCCACAAUGCAUUGUUCAAACAACGUGCUAGGUCACUUUCCCGGCAAGAUGGCUUCCAACAAUCAGGGAAACGACAGUGGCUCAAAUUCUGGUAGGAUUGACGUUGACAACCCUCCUUUCUCGAGAGUUUUUGUGGUAUGUAGUAAGAGACAUACAUCAGACGAUAUGAGAAUAGCUUUUGAGCCGUAUGGUGUGAUUGAAGACAUUUGGAUGGUUAAAGACAAAGUGACUAAAGAAAACAGAGGUGUCUGCUACAUAAAGUUCGAGAAAGCUUCUUCGGCUGCUCUUGCAUGUGAAGAAAUGGAUUGCAAACAAAUUGGAGACGACCCCAAAGUAAUUAAGGCAAUGAUUGCUCAAUCAAAGCAUUCAGGCUCUAAAAUGGACUUCCAUGAUCCUACCACAAUGACAAGAUUGUUUGUCAUCUGUCCCAAAGACUACACUGAUGAUGACUUGAGAUCCAAGUUUGAAAACUUUGGUGAUUUAGAAUAUGUUCAGAUUGUGCGUGAUCAUCAGACAAGGGAGAAUAAAGGUUAUGGUUAUGUGAAGUUUUCUAAAGCAUCUACUGCAUCUUUGGCUUUAGAGAAUUGUGACAAAGGACUGAAAGCUGUUUGGGCAGAGCCAAAAUCAGCCAAAGUUGCUAGAUAUGCUGCUGCUGCAUCUUCAGUGGCACAGGCUUAUGCACCUCAAAAUCCAUUCUUGGACCAAACAGGGAUCUUCUCAGCAGCCAUUCCACAAGCUCAGCCAACCCUUCACCAGCCUAUGGAGUUUUUUACUAGUCAAACAGCAAGUAACCCAACAGCAUCUGUAGCAGAAACAAUCACAUCGUCACACACACCUACAAGAUUAUUUGUAAUUGUGUCAGUAUCCUUGACUCAAGACCAAGUAGCCCGUCUGUUUGACAUCAUACCAGGAAUGCAGAUGUGUGAUCUGAAACGCAAUCACAAAACAGGUGAAUCAAAGGGCUUUGCAUAUGUUACAUACAAUUCUGUUGGAUCUGCUAUCUAUGCAAAGGAAAAGUUGAAUGGCUUUGAGUAUCCUCCAGGCUCUAAGCUUGUCAUCAAAUAUGCUGAGGAUCCACCCUCAAGUCGUAACAACUCUGAGUCAAGUUCAUCUAACAAUAUCUUUGGUUCCAAAUCAUCAAUUCCUGGAGCCAGUACAGCCUUUACUCUUGAUAGCAGCCAAGUUUAUACUACAGCAGGACUUCCGGCACCUGCACCACUUGCUGAUCCUAACUCUGAGGUAGUAUCACGAUUGUUUAUUGUGUGCAAUCCAGCACCACCGCCUGAUCCCGUCCUCAAGGAUGUUUUCAGUAGAUUUGGUAAUCUAAUUGAUGUGUAUAUGAUGAAAGACAGGAACUUUGGAUAUGCAAAGUUUGCAUCAAAAGAUUCUGCUGAUGUCGCAAUUGAAGGACUUCACGGUCAUGAGGUGUUGGGAAUGAAACUCAAAGUUAUGCAUGCAGACCCUCCUAAACACGAGUCUUCACGCAAGAGACCACGCACCUAAUUCUCACAAUACAGUCCCAAGGUGAAACACUGUAUAUUGCAUCGCCAACAAGAACUGCAGUUAUUUUGCAGGUCAAGAACUGGAUGCAUGGAGACAUCUCCUCGAGGACAUGAUAUUUGUUGAAUUUGUCCUAGAAUAUUAACCACUAUUUUAUUAAUAAAUCCAUAUUUCUGAAAAGAGUGUCUUGUUUGUUUUU
RNAcentral lists this unclassified non-coding RNA (1758 nucleotides) under Exaiptasia diaphana. Its description in RNAcentral is "rNA-binding protein 45, transcript variant X2". Lineage: Eukaryota; Metazoa; Cnidaria; Anthozoa; Actiniaria; Aiptasiidae. The record is from RNAcentral.